Molecule: unclassified non-coding RNA, 329 nt
Filed under: soil metagenome
Description: partial contains 5.8S ribosomal RNA, internal transcribed spacer 2, and large subunit ribosomal RNA
Rfam family: 5.8S ribosomal RNA (bases 1-120)
Source: RNAcentral
GAUGAAGAACGUAGCGAAAUGCGAUAAGUAAUGUGAAUUGCAGAAUUCAGUGAAUCAUCGAAUCUUUGAACGCACAUUGCGCCCUCUGGUAUUCCGGGGGGCAUGCCUGUUCGAGCGUCAUUACAACCCUCAAGCUCAGCUUGGUGUUGGGCCCCGCCGCCCCGGCGGGCCCUAAAGUCAGUGGCGGUGCCGUCCGGCUCCGAGCGUAGUAAUUCUUCUCGCUCUGGAGGUCCGGUCGUGUGCUCGCCAGCAACCCCCAAUUUUUUUCAGGUUGACCUCGGAUCAGGUAGGGAUACCCGCUGAACUUAAGCAUAUCAAUAAGCGGAGGA